UAUUCAAAUUUUUAUCAAUUUCUAUUCUUAAAAAUUGGCAUGGCUAUAAGAAUAACCAAAUAGUUACACAUGGUGUGUCACAAGUACCUUAUGCUGACGUACAACAACUAGUUUUUAAUAAUAGAAAUAGAUUACAUUUUUAAUA
This is a non-coding RNA of Gossypium hirsutum (cotton), 145 nucleotides long. The record is from Rfam. NCBI's taxonomy places the organism in Eukaryota, Viridiplantae, Streptophyta, Magnoliopsida, Malvales, Malvaceae.